GCUUUCAGGUGCAUCGGGUUUACACCCAUUAGGACGCCGCCCCCCGAGGGUGACGCUAAGAGUGGGAGGAAGGUGUUAUAAAGAGCUGGGUAGUGAUCAAUUUUUCCACUGCUAUGGACGUUUAGAUUUUGACAAGGACAAGAAGCCUUGUGCAGCAAAAAUGAGUGAUAAAGAGAAAUGUGAUAAAAAGAGUGGUAGCUCCAGCUCCAGCUCCAGUUCCAGUUCCAGCUCCAGCUCAGAGCAUGACGGGAAAGAAAAGUGUGGAAUAAAGAAGAAAGUGAAGAAGCAUAAGAAAGAGAAGAAGGGGAAGAAGGAGAAGAAGCACUGCAAGUAAUGGCAGCCAGGCUGUUGGUAGCAUCUGCCUGAUCAUGCGUCUUGGAUCCCAAGGGGCCCUCUCAUAUUUAGAUUAAGCAUAUCCCUCUACUUAGUUUCUUCUAGCUCAUUUUAUGUUGCUUACUGGGUAUCUCUAUGAUGGUAAUGGUUGUUAAACAGGCUCUUUUUAAAGGAACUUAACACUUGACAAAAUUACUUUAAAAAUAGAAGGGCCUUUUUAAAAUCUCUGAAGGAUGAAGCAGAAUUAGAUGUUUGGAUUGAAGUUAAAACAAAAUAAUCUUUUCCAGUGCCUUGAGAGAAGCUAACAUUUCGGUUUUCUAAAUUCUUCAGGUUGAACUGUGUUUUGGUUUAGUUUCACUUUUUUAAUCCAGGUCAAUGCAAUUAAUACACUUGGAAGAAAGAUCAGGCCAAGAAUUGACAGUACUAAAUGACUAUUUGGAUUAGUGAGCAAUAGUGGGUACUUAAGGGGAAAUUGUGGGGAACGCUAACAAAGAUGUCUUACAGAACACAAUUAUUGUUAACUACUUCAGUCACUGCUUCAAUAUGCAAGAUCUGUUAUUACAAUAAAUUUUACAAGUCAAAAAUAA
Hypanus sabinus (Atlantic stingray) is the source of this 920-nucleotide long non-coding RNA. RefSeq lists it as uncharacterized. Lineage: Eukaryota; Metazoa; Chordata; Chondrichthyes; Myliobatiformes; Dasyatidae. The record is from RefSeq and is a predicted model, not a curated record. The transcript is spliced from 4 exons.